Molecule: ribosomal RNA, 440 nt
Filed under: uncultured bacterium
Lineage: Bacteria
Description: partial 16S ribosomal RNA
Rfam family: Bacterial small subunit ribosomal RNA
Source: RNAcentral
CCUACGGGAGGCAGCAGUGGGGGAUAUUGCACAAUGGGGGAAACGCUGAUGCAGCGACGCCGCGUGUGGGAAGACGGUCCUCUGGAUUGUAAACCACUGUCCCCAGGGACGAAGAUGACGGUACCUGGGGUGGAAGCUCCGGCUAACUACGUGCCAGCAGCCGCGGUAAUACGUAGGGGGCGAGCGUUGUCCGGAAUUACUGGGUGUAAAGGGAGCGUAGGCGGGACUGCAAGUUGGAGGUAAAAUCUACCGGCUCAACCGGUAGCCGCACUCAAAACUGCAGUUCUUGAGUGAAGAAGAGGCAUGCGGAAUUCCUAGUGUAGCGGUGAAAUGCGUAGAUAUUAGGAGGAACACCAGUGGCGAAGGCGGCCUGCUGGGCUUUUACUGACGCUGAGGCUCGAAAGUGUGGGGAGCGAACAGGAUUAGAUACCCCAGUAGUC